Molecule: long non-coding RNA, 426 nt
Filed under: Salvia miltiorrhiza (redroot sage)
Lineage: Eukaryota; Viridiplantae; Streptophyta; Magnoliopsida; Lamiales; Lamiaceae
Description: long non-coding RNA (SMIL_LNC009897)
Source: RNAcentral
CCUUGUUUGAUAAGACCAAGAAAUGUUAGUCUACCGAUGUAGUAUACUACCCAAACUAUGACUUCAUAUAAUUGUGUCUCAUUGUGAUUGGUUGAGAUUAGUUUUUGUCCUAUAAAUGAUAUCGACCACUCAUUAUGAUAGAAAUUCAGAGUCCAAGCUAAGACCGUAAUAUAGUGUUCGAGUACGAGGACUUAAGUUAAUUGGUCUAUGAUAGUUUUAAGAUAGAUUCAUAGGAAAGUGUUAUUCAUGUGAUAGGUAACAAGAAAUGGGUUGAUGACUAUUUUAGUCUUUGGAAAAAAGAAUACCCCGUAGAUGAGCCCUAGGAAUGAGGUAGGAGUAAUGAACCGCCGCAAAAGGACGAGGGAACUUAUUCUCAAGUAAAUCUCGUGUAUAUAAAUUGGAAUUAGGAAUCCAAUUGAUAUGAGG